Prosopis cineraria is the source of this 899-nucleotide RNA transcript. It is a transcript of the gene named glyceraldehyde-3-phosphate dehydrogenase, cytosolic-like, with no coding region annotated. Lineage: Eukaryota; Viridiplantae; Streptophyta; Magnoliopsida; Fabales; Fabaceae. The record is from RefSeq and is a predicted model, not a curated record. The transcript is spliced from 5 exons.
UGUGAAUUAAAUGAACCACAAAAAACAGAAAGAAUGCAACAACAGAGAACAGGAAUCACAACAACUAAGACAGAACACUCACUGGCUUUCGAGAGGCCAGUCCUCUCCUCACAACACUCAGGAUACCCAAAAAAAAGAAGAAGAAGAAGAAGAAGCAUAAUCUCCUUGGGGCCUCAAGCGCCACUGUAAAACCAAAAGAGAGCCCUUACGGACUCCAAAAAUGCCCUCUCCUAAGCCAGGUCAAAAGCAACUCUAAAGCAGCCCUAUUUUUUAUUUUCUUGCUCUUUAAUUUUUGGAUGAGUCGGGUCAACAUUCUGACCGUCUGAAAGCAUCUUUCCUUUUUAUGCUGCUUCUCAGUUUUCCUUUUGUAGGUUUGGGCAGCAAAAGCAAUUCUAUCAUUUUCACCAGGAGGCAUCUGAGGGAAGCUUGAAGGGAAUUCUUGGUUACACUGAGGAUGAUGUGGUGUCCACUGAUUUUGUUGGUGACUGCAGUUAAGGAUACGCCAUUGAGAUUCCCAAUUGGACGUAUGCCGCUGUCUGGGUCUAAUUCUUGGUCAAGCGUUUUUGACGCAAAGGCUGGAAUUUCCUUGAGUAACAAUAUUGUGAAACUUGUCUCUUGGUAUGACAACGAAUGGGGCUACAGUUCCCGUGUGGUUGACCCUAUCCGACACGUUGCCUCUGUUUAAAAACUGCAUUCGGCCCAAGUCUUGCAUCUUGAAGCUAGCAUUCAACUCACUUCACCCAUUAGGUUUAUAAGUUUUUGGAAUAAUGCAUAAUUCUAAGAUGAUAAGCACUAGAGGAAACGGUGGGAACCUCUACUUCAGAUAGGUUAAUUUUAUCAGAUUUCUUCUUGUCUAGGAUAAUACGAAUCAUAUCUUAUGAGAAACUUCUUUCUUUUAA